AUUCAGCUUCUUCUGGUGUGCUAAAGUCAUUCACGUUUCUCUUGUGCAUAAUAGAUCUCAGAAACUGUAGGAAUUCUGAUGUACUUCAGUGCACAGAGCAGUAACAAAUGAGCUGCUUUGGGGGAGAGCUGGAGCGCUCAGUCGGUCAGUAGUACAGUAGCAGGCUCACAUGUGUCGAUUGUUUCUGUGAGGUCAGAGGAUGUGUUUAUACUGCUGUCUGCUUGAAGGGAGGUGAUGCGGAGUAUCAUCAUGGGGUCUACUGCUACAGAAACUGAAGAAUUGGAAAACACCACUUUUAAGUAUCUCAUAGGAGAACAGACUGAAAAAAUGUGGCAACGCCUGAAAGGAAUACUAAGAUGCUUAGUGAAGCAGCUGGAAAAAGGUGAUGUUAACAUCGUAGACUUAAAGAAGAAUAUUGAAUAUGCAGCAUCUGUGCUGGAAGCAGUUUAUAUCGAUGAAACAAGAAGACUGCUGGAUACUGAUGAUGAGCUCAGUGACAUUCAGUCGGAUUCGGUCCCCUUGGAAGUCCGGGACUGGUUGGCUUCUACCUUUACACGGAAAAUGGGGAUGAUGAAAAAGAAAUCUGAGGAAAAACCAAGAUUUCGGAGCAUUGUGCAUGCUGUUCAAGCUGGAAUUUUUGUGGAAAGAAUGUACAGAAAAUCCUAUCACAUGGUUGGGUUGACAUAUCCAGAAGCUGUCAUAGUAACAUUAAAGGAUGUUGAUAAAUGGUCUUUUGAUGUAUUUGCCUUGAAUGAAGCAAGUGGAGAACAUAGUCUGAAGUUUAUGAUUUAUGAACUAUUUACCAGAUAUGAUCUUAUCAACCGUUUCAAGAUUCCUGUUUGUUGCCUAAUUGCCUUUGCAGAAGCUUUAGAAGUUGGUUACAGCAAGUACAAAAAUCCGUAUCACAAUUUGAUUCAUGCAGCUGAUGUCACUCAAACUGUGCAUUAUAUAAUGCUUCAUACAGGUAUCAUGCACUGGCUCACUGAACUGGAAAUUUUAGCAAUGGUCUUUGCUGCUGCCAUUCAUGAUUAUGAGCAUACGGGAACUACAAACAAUUUUCAUAUUCAGACAAGGUCAGAUGUUGCCAUUUUGUAUAAUGAUCGCUCCGUCCUUGAAAAUCACCAUGUGAGUGCAGCGUAUCGACUUAUGCAAGAAGAAGAAAUGAAUGUCCUGGUAAAUUUAUCCAAAGAUGACUGGAGGGAUCUUCGGAACCUAGUGAUUGAAAUGGUUUUGUCUACAGACAUGUCGGGUCACUUCCAGCAAAUUAAAAAUAUAAGAAACAGUUUGCAGCAGCCUGAAGGGCUUGACAAAGCCAAAACCAUGUCCCUGAUCCUCCAUGCAGCAGACAUCAGUCACCCAGCCAAAUCCUGGCAGCUGCACCACCGAUGGACCAUGGCCCUGAUGGAGGAGUUUUUCCUACAGGGAGAUAAAGAAGCUGAAUUGGGGCUUCCAUUUUCCCCACUUUGUGAUCGGAAGUCAACGAUGGUGGCGCAGUCCCAAAUAGGUUUCAUUGAUUUCAUAGUAGAGCCAACAUUUUCUCUUCUGACAGACUCAACAGAGAAAAUUAUUAUUCCUCUUAUAGAGGAAGACUCAAAAACCAAAACUCCUUCCUAUGGAGCAAGCAGACGAUCAAAUAUGAAAGGCACCAUGAAUGAUGGAACCUAUUCCCCAGACUACUCCCUUGCAAGCGUGGACCUGAAGAGCUUCAAAAACAACCUGGCGGACAUCAUCCAGCAGAACAAAGAGAGGUGGAAAGAAUUAGCUGCUCAAGGUGAGCCUGAUCUUCAUAAGAAUUCAGAAGAUCUAGUAAGUGCCGAAGAAAAACAUGCUGAGACACAUUCAUAGGUUUGAAACACCUUAAAGGCUUCUGUCAUUUUAAACAUGAGAGGAAAUAUGAAUGUUUACACUGAGUGAUAAUAACAAAGCAAGUACAUAUUAUGAAACAACAUCAAUAUUUGCUAAAAUCCGUGGACAUUUGCAUCAAUGAUUCCCUUUUUAAAAAUUCAGCUUCUACAACCUAAGUGUCCAUCAACAGAUGAAUGGAUAAAGAAGAUGUGGCACAUAUAUACAAUGGAAUAUAACACAGCCAUAAAAAGAAACGAAAUUGAGUUAUUUGUAGUGAGGUGGAUGGACCUAGAGACUGUCAUACAGAGUGAAGAUAAUGAGAACAGCACUAAAAUAUCCUAAAUCCUCAAUUUUCCACAAACCUAUAUUCUCCUCUUUCAACACACACUUGGAAACAGGCCAUUUUAUGGACUCAUAUAAGAGAAGAACAUAAAUUCUGAACUAGUAAUUCUAGCCAAAUAAAUACACUCAAAGUUGCUACCAGAGAUUUUGGCCAGUGCUUUUGCCAUUGCUCUUCUUCCACAAUUUGGCCUUCUUCAAUCAAGCCAGAGAAAUUUUUAAGACAAAAAGUUGGACAGUUUUAAUUUUUCAUCAGUUUGAACCCAGUUACUGCAUAGGCAACUGUGCAAUAUGUGUGCAGAAGAUGAGGCAUUUUAAAAUUUGACUUUCUUGCUUUGUUUUAUACAGAGUGCUGUAACUACAGUAAAUUUUUCAAGAUGUUAAGUAAAAGGAAAGCAAAAACAAAAUUAUAGAAAAAUAUUUUUUGCAGCUCUGAGGCUAUUUAGAUUGUCCUUGUUAUUUUAAAUACAUGGGAACAAAGUGAGAGCCGGGGCUGCUCAGAAGCUGUGGUUGAAGCCCUAUAACAACAAUGGAGCAUCAGAGCCCUGGCUCUGUGACCUGAUGAACUCUUCAUUGUAGCUCUCAAGCUGGGAAACCACAGUGAAACCUGCCCCUGAAAGCAGUGGACCAGCCUGCCUCCAUCCCUGUGAUUUCAAAGCACUAACGCAUCACCUACAUGGGCGUCAUCACAAUGCAAGUCACACAUUAUCUACGAUCCAAGAUGACAAGAACCUCCAGCCACUGUUGGAGACAGACACUAGAACUGAGAAUGGAAUUUGCCUUCUGGGGUGUUGAUCCCAUCAGGAUGUAACAAAAUAUAUCACAGGCCAAGGGAUAAGUGACAAGAAGUGUGUGUGUGUGCGUGUCUGUGUGUGUAUUCAAAAAUGUCUAUGAAAAUGGAAUCCCACACUUUUCUGUACAGAUAAUGUUAUUUGACGUGAGUUUAUAAUUUUACCACACAGAAACAAACUGCAACCCUUGGAGACUCUGCUUCCUUGUCAUGUUUUGCCUGAGCAUGUGCAGAGCCUUGCCUUUGCUCCAAACUGAAGAGCCACAUUUAUUUGUUAUUAGCUGACAAGAAAGGUCAAGCACAAGUAGGUGUUGUAACUUUUCACUGUACAAACUCUUCAAUGAUUGUGAGACUAAGCGAAUAUGUCUUUGUGAAUGGUAGAAUGGGGUGGAAAAAAUUAAGAGUAGCCAUCAAUUAAAGAAAAAAGUGAAGGUGGGUUGUCCAUCCUAAUGAGUUUUCUGUUGCACAUGCUUCUUCCCUGGGUUCCACAAUGCUAAGCAAUAUUUUAGAAAUGGAUGCAAUCACAAGCUUUCAAGUCUAAGUAGUGGGAUUUUAUAACUCACAACUUAGAUCUCUUUUCAUGUGUAAGCCAUAUUCUAUAUGCAUAUUAGGUAUGCAUUUUAAUUUAAGAUAUAUUUGUGCAUAGACUGUGUAUAAGAUGCUUUUAAAUGUUCUGUGAAUAAGUUCCUUAGAUUUUGUUUCAUCUGAAGCAUAUGUAGAACACAGCUAAAUAAUUGAAUUGUAUCAUAGACAUUAUAAUGCAAUUGAUAUUUUAAAUGUAAGCAGUAAAGAUUGAUCUAUAAUGAUGUGUUGGGGGAAAUUUAUAGAUACGUACGUCAUGGUGACUUUUUGUCCUACAAUGGAUUUCUUAUUUAUAUUUAUGGAGAAACUGCAACUACUGCUUUUAAUGUCUUUUUUAAGGUAGCUAUUUACAAGCUACAAAAUAUUCUGCAUUUAAGAUUAGAAUAUGACUGUCAGGGAAGUCUAAUUACUAUUGUUCCUAUUUGAGCCAGGUGUCUCUCAGUAAAGCUAUAGAGUCUCUCAACAGAGAAAUAAAUUGAAACACUGCUUCUUAAUUGUCAUAAGAAACAUGUCCACUUUGUUCCUAUUAAUACUUUAAGAUAUAUAGAUUAUUACUAAAAAAAAUAGAGCAAUAUAAUGAAGUCAUUAUUUUCUGUAUAUGGGGUUUAACCUAAUUUUCCAGGUUAUGUAAUUUAUAAAGCGCUGUGAUGGAACUUCCAGGGGAGUGGAGAAAACUCGCUCCAUCUCUUCAGAAGAGUUGUCACGCUAUUGAUGCACUUUUUUCCCCCUAAUCUCCCUCGUCACUCCCUCUUUUACUCCUUCCCCUCCCUUCUCUCCUGCUCUCCUUUGUAUCUUCCUUAUUCCUUCCUUCCUCUCUCUAAGACAGGCACUAACUCAUGUUAAUUAGCGGGAAGUCAGAGCAGAGGGUACCAGUGCCCAUCCCUUCUGCCAACAUCAGUGUUGAAUCCAUCCUAAAGAGAGGGAUGGAUGAAUUCGGCUGCUGAGCCUUAAAUGGCCUGCUUUGCAUUUGUAUCCUCAGCUACUCAACAUAUAUCUAACAAUUUCAUAUGCCUCUUUAUUUAUCUGGUAUCUCUUUUAUUUAAUUUUUAACAUGACAAGCUACAAUUCUUGUGUUUUUAUUCUGCUGUAAUUCUCUGUAUUUCCUAUUGUAUAUGAUUGUUAAAUAAAUCAUACUUGAGGGAAAAUAUCAUGAACCAUUUGGUGCCUGAUGUAAUUCAAUUUGGUGGGGCAUUGAAAAGUUGGCAAAAUCAGGGAAAACCAGAAGUACACCAUCUUGAAAGUUGAUAUGAGUUCAAUCAGAAAGUGAUUUUUGCUCUAUGAAAGAAAUGUUCACUGAGCAUUUAUUAUUGCACCUAUUAUUUGCAUACUCCUGG
Molecule: RNA transcript, 4890 nt
Organism: Orcinus orca (killer whale)
Lineage: Eukaryota; Metazoa; Chordata; Mammalia; Artiodactyla; Delphinidae
Gene: PDE1A
Gene name: phosphodiesterase 1A
Exons: 17
Source: RefSeq, a predicted model, not a curated record